This 253-nucleotide ribosomal RNA is filed under the name uncultured bacterium. RNAcentral's name for it is "partial 16S ribosomal RNA". It matches the Rfam family "Bacterial small subunit ribosomal RNA", at positions 524 to 776 of the family's 1533-position model. The record is from RNAcentral.
UACGUAGGGGGCUAGCGUUGUUCGGAUUUAUUGGGCGUAAAGCGCGUGUAGGCGGCUUGUUAAGUCGGGUGUGAAAUCCCUCAGCUCAACUGAGGAAGUGCGCCCGAAACUGGCGAGCUUGAGUGCCGGAGAGGAUGGCGGAAUACCCCAAGUAGAGGUGAAAUUCGUAGAUAUGGGGUGGAACACCGGUGGCGAAGGCGGCCAUCUGGACGGUAACUGACGCUGAGACGCGAAAGCGUGGGUAGCAAACAGG